RNAcentral lists this ribosomal RNA (287 nucleotides) under uncultured bacterium. RNAcentral describes it as "partial 16S ribosomal RNA". It matches the Rfam family "Bacterial small subunit ribosomal RNA", at positions 335 to 605 of the family's 1533-position model. The record is from RNAcentral.
ACUCCUACGGGAGGCAUCAGUGGGGAAUAUUGCACAAUGGGGAAAGCCAUCGAUGCAGCCAUGCCGCGCUGUGUGAAGAAGGCCAAUUCGGGCUUGGUUAAAGACACUUUUCAGCGAGGAGGAAAGGGUGUAAGUUAAUACCUUACAUCUGUGACGUUACUCGCAGAAGAAGCACCGGCUAACUCCGUGCCAGCAGCCGCGGUAAUACGGAGGGUGCGAGCGUUAAUCGGAAUUACUGGGCGUAAAGCGUGCGCAGGCGGUUUGUUAAGCGAGAUGUGAAAGCCCGC